UGGGGAAUAUUGCACAAUGGGCGCAAGCCUGAUGCAGCCAUGCCGCGUGUGUGAAGAAGGCCUUCGGGUUGUAAAGCACUUUCAGCGAGGAGGAAGGUGGUGGAACUUAAUACGUUCAUCAAUUGACGUUACUCGCAGAAGAAGCACCGGCUAACUCCGUGCCAGCAGCCGCGGUAAUACGGAGGGUGCAAGCGUUAAUCGGAAUUACUGGGCGUAAAGCGCACGCAGGCGGUUUGUUAAGUCAGAUGUGAAAUCCCCGGGCUCAACCUGGGAACUGCAUUUGAAACUGGCAAGCUAGAGUCUCGUAGAGGGGGGUAGAAUUCCAGGUGUAGCGGUGAAAUGCGUAGAGAUCUGGAGGAAUACCGGUGGCGAAGGCGGCCCCCUGGACGAAGACUGACGCUCAGGUGCGAAAGCGUGGGGAGCAAAACAGGAUUAGAUACCCUGGUAGUCCACGCUGUAAAACGAUGUCGAUUUUGGAGGUUGUGCCCUUGAGGCGUGGCUUCCGGAGCUAACGCGUUAAAUCGACCGCCUGGGGAGUACGGCCGCAAGGUUAAAACUCAAAGGAAUUGACGGGGUC
RNAcentral lists this ribosomal RNA (577 nucleotides) under uncultured bacterium. Its description in RNAcentral is "partial 16S ribosomal RNA". It matches the Rfam family "Bacterial small subunit ribosomal RNA", at positions 355 to 920 of the family's 1533-position model. The record is from RNAcentral.